This 414-nucleotide unclassified non-coding RNA is filed under the name fungal sp. Its description in RNAcentral is "partial internal transcribed spacer region". The stretch from base 1 to 46 matches the Rfam family "Eukaryotic small subunit ribosomal RNA", at positions 1786 to 1831 of the family's 1831-position model. The record is from RNAcentral. Lineage: Eukaryota; Fungi.
AAGUCGUAACAAGGUUUCCGUAGGUGAACCUGCGGAAGGAUCAUUAUCACGUUGCAAAACACUUAUCAACCUUGCGUGCACUCGGUUCCUUCAGAAUAACUUAUGGGUUUGGGUGGUUUUGGGGUUGUUUGUUGAAGUGGUUUGGAACACCCGCCAUCUUUGGUUUUGACAGUCAUUGAAGCGUGGUUCACUCGUGGAUCUGUCUUCUGAUUGUUUUGACCAGCCCUGUUCUGAAGAGCUGUUUUUUGCGGUACCACCUCAGCCGCGUCUUGUUUCACCUUUUUUCCUUUUUAAACCCCUGUACGAUUCAUGAACUGAUUUGGUUCUUUUGUCUGGUCAUUCAGUUGACUGUUCGAAAGAAUUCACUUACAAAAACAUCAAAACAACUCUUAACAACGGAUAUCUUGGUUCCCG